RNAcentral lists this long non-coding RNA (849 nucleotides) under Nicotiana benthamiana. Its description in RNAcentral is "long non-coding RNA (NBEN_LNC006040)". Lineage: Eukaryota; Viridiplantae; Streptophyta; Magnoliopsida; Solanales; Solanaceae. The record is from RNAcentral.
UAACAAUGAAAUUCUACAUAGCUUGACUCAAACAAACUAUCUAGAACUUAACAUCACUCCUUAUCAACUUUCAAAUAAAUCAGAAAAUGUGUCAAGCCUAGAAAACUUCAGAUAUCAAGCAAAAGGGGAAAAUUUUCAAUGGAAUUGUAAAACUCUCAGUCGUUCUCUUUUCUGGAGUUUUUUCACUUGAAGUUCUAAGAUCUCUCUAUCUUUCCAUCCUAUGCUGCCCUGAAUAGCCUGAUUAGUUGCUUUGAUAGCUGAAUAACUCAUAAUUUUAUUUGACUUGAGGCCUUCUUCUAUAAUGCCUCCCCUCUUCACUACUUCGUUGAAUGACUUCCCCACAGCUGAGACCAGAUGGCCAUAGUAGGUAGGUUUUAAAGCCUGUAUGAAGUAAUCCACCAUCUCACUUUCCUUUAUUUAGGGGUCUACUCUUGCUGCUUGCUCCCUUCAUCGGAAACCAUAUUCCCCGAAACUUUCGUUGUGCUUUUUCUCUAGUUUAGUCAAGGACAGUUUAUCUGGAAUAAAAUCAAGAUUGUAUUGGAAGUGACAAGUAAAUGCUUGAGCCAUAUCAUUCCAUGUACCAUCUUCCAUGGUCUUGGCAGGUAUACCAUUCCAAAGAUGAUCCACUCAAACUCUGACUGAAGUAAGCCAUUAACAAUUCAUCCUUUCCUCCCUCUCCCCUCAUCUUGCAACAGAAACCCCUCAAAUGUUCUACUAGAUCACCGUGCCCGUUGUAUAUAUCAAACUUGGGCAUCUUGAAACCUACAGGCAAUUGUAUAUUCGGGAAGAGACAUAGGUCCUUGUAGGCCAUGCUUACUUGACCUCCCAAUCCCUGCAUGUCCCUGAAUG